RNAcentral lists this ribosomal RNA (773 nucleotides) under Streptococcus anginosus. Its description in RNAcentral is "bacterial SSU rRNA". It matches the Rfam family "Bacterial small subunit ribosomal RNA", at positions 28 to 776 of the family's 1533-position model. Lineage: Bacteria; Bacillati; Bacillota; Bacilli; Lactobacillales; Streptococcaceae. The record is from RNAcentral.
GACGAACGCUGGCGGCGUGCCUAAUACAUGCAAGUAGGACGCACAGUCUAUACCGUAGCUUGCUACACCAUAGACUGCGAGUUGCGAACGGGUGAGUAACGCGUAGGUAACCUGCCUAUUAGAGGGGGAUAACUAUUGGAAACGAUAGCUAAUACCGCAUAACAGUAUGUAACACAUGUUAGAUGCUUGAAAGAUGCAAUUGCAUCGCUAGUAGAUGGACCUGCGUUGUAUUAGCUAGUAGGUAGGGUAAUGGCCUACCUAGGCGACGAUACAUAGCCGACCUGAGAGGGUGAUCGGCCACACUGGGACUGAGACACGGCCCAGACUCCUACGGGAGGCAGCAGUAGGGAAUCUUCGGCAAUGGGGGGAACCCUGACCGAGCAACGCCGCGUGAGUGAAGAAGGUUUUCGGAUCGUAAAGCUCUGUUGUUAAGGAAGAACGAGUGUGAGAAUGGAAAGUUCAUACUGUGACGGUACUUAACCAGAAAGGGACGGCUAACUACGUGCCAGCAGCCGCGGUAAUACGUAGGUCCCGAGCGUUGUCCGGAUUUAUUGGGCGUAAAGCGAGCGCAGGCGGUUAGAAAAGUCUGAAGUGAAAGGCAGUGGCUCAACCAUUGUAGGCUUUGGAAACUGUUUAACUUGAGUGCAGAAGGGGAGAGUGGAAUUCCAUGUGUAGCGGUGAAAUGCGUAGAUAUAUGGAGGAACACCGGUGGCGAAAGCGGCUCUCUGGUCUGUAACUGACGCUGAGGCUCGAAAGCGUGGGGAGCGAACAGG